This 17-nucleotide ribosomal RNA is filed under the name Macromitrium uraiense. RNAcentral describes it as "partial ribosomal RNA". The record is from RNAcentral. Lineage: Eukaryota; Viridiplantae; Streptophyta; Bryopsida; Orthotrichales; Orthotrichaceae.
CUAAUCGGAAAAGAGCA